This 253-nucleotide ribosomal RNA is filed under the name uncultured bacterium. RNAcentral describes it as "partial 16S ribosomal RNA". It matches the Rfam family "Bacterial small subunit ribosomal RNA", at positions 524 to 776 of the family's 1533-position model. The record is from RNAcentral.
UACGAAGGGUGCAAGCGUUAAUCGGAAUUACUGGGCGUAAAGCGUGCGCAGGCGGUUUUGUAAGACAGGCGUGAAAUCCCCGGGCUCAACCUGGGAACUGCAUUUGUGACUGCAAGGCUAGAGUACGGCAGAGGGGGAUGGAAUUCCGCGUGUAGCAGUGAAAUGCGUAGAUAUGCGGAGGAACACCAAUGGCGAAGGCAAUCCCCUGGGCCUGUACUGACGCUCAUGCACGAAAGCGUGGGGAGCAAACAGG